Molecule: transfer-messenger RNA, 367 nt
Filed under: Sandaracinaceae bacterium
Lineage: Bacteria; Pseudomonadati; Myxococcota; Polyangiales; Sandaracinaceae
Also listed under: 1 other name
Rfam family: transfer-messenger RNA
About the family: Bacterial tmRNA, also known as 10Sa RNA or SsrA, is named for its dual tRNA and mRNA-like properties.
Source: RNAcentral
GGGGGCGAUCUGGCUUCGACGGGGAUGAUGAAGGGUUCGUGGCGUGACCGCCGGCCCAGGCACGGCGUAAAUACGCUUGGGAAACGUCAAUUGCCAACGAUAACGGCAUCGCUCUCGCGGCCUGAUUAGGGUUUAGCGGAGCCGUCGAACUAAGGAGCCAGCCUGUGCUCCUUAGGGAGGCGUCAUUUGAACAGGCUGGUCCUUAUGCAUGUCAUCCGGCAUAGGGGCGAGAUUCAAGGGUGGCUAGCGAUUCGGAGAGCCUGUCCGUGGGCGCGAUGAAGAGCGAAACCUCAAAAUACGGACUACGCACGUAGAAGCGAAUCUGGAGCAUUCUCGGACCCGAGUUCGACUCUCGGCGCCUCCACCA